Sander lucioperca (pikeperch) is the source of this 451-nucleotide long non-coding RNA. RefSeq lists it as uncharacterized. The record is from RefSeq and is a predicted model, not a curated record. Lineage: Eukaryota; Metazoa; Chordata; Actinopteri; Perciformes; Percidae. The transcript is spliced from 2 exons.
CGCCAUAGGAGCUACGCGUUCUGGGGAGAGGCUAAUUAGGCUCUUCCUACAAAGUCGUGGAUGUAUUAAGAGACCGUACGAAGUGCUCUGCUGUGAUUUUUCCCUGACGACGGUCUCCUAGCUCAUGACAGGAUAUUUUAGUGUGCAACGUGGAGCAAGCAUAGACUGUUAAUGGGAGCAAGCCAUUCUGCUUUGAGGAGCAUGAAGAGCCAUUGCCAAUUUACCAACGUGACACUACUCCCCCUGCUGGGCACCUGCUUCAACGACUCUUGAAUGUCAAGGUGUGCGAGUGCGACUGUUUUGCAUGCAAAUAAUUGUGACUUGCUUUUUGUCAUUACCUUCCCUCCUUUGUGUGCUCUGUCUCCUUUCUAAAUAUGUAUUUUCUUCAUAAAUUGCCUUCUAAAGAGUAAAAUAUACAGUGGUCCUGAGAGUUCAAUGCACUGUAACUUUA